RNAcentral lists this ribosomal RNA (251 nucleotides) under uncultured archaeon. RNAcentral's name for it is "partial 16S ribosomal RNA". It matches the Rfam family "Archaeal small subunit ribosomal RNA", at positions 728 to 982 of the family's 1478-position model. The record is from RNAcentral.
AUUAGAUACCCGUGUAGUCCCAGCCCUAAACGAUGCGCGUUAGGUGUAUCGGUGACCACGAGUCACCGAGGUGCCGAAGGGAAACCGUGAAACGUGCCGCCUGGGAAGUACGGUCGCAAGGCUGAACUUAAGGAAUUGCGGGGAGCACAACAACGGGUGGAGCUUGCGGUUUAAUUGGAUUCAACGCCGGAAAUCUUACCGGGACCGACAGCAACAUGAAGGCCAAGCUGAAGACUUUGCCGGAUUAGCUG